GAACCGCAUGGUUCAAAAGUGAAAGACGGUCUUGCUGUCACUUAUAGAUGGAUCCGCGCUGCAUUAGCUAGUUGGUAAGGUAACGGCUUACCAAGGCAACGAUGCAUAGCCGACCUGAGAGGGUGAUCGGCCACACUGGAACUGAGACACGGUCCAGACUCCUACGGGAGGCAGCAGUAGGGAAUCUUCCGCAAUGGGCGAAAGCCUGACGGAGCAACGCCGCGUGAGUGAUGAAGUUCUUCGGAUCGUAAAACUCUGUUAUUAGGGAAGAACAAAUGUGUAAGUAACUGUGCACAUCUUGACGGUACCUAAUCAGAAAGCCACGGCUAACUACGUGCCAGCAGCCGCGGUAAUACGUAGGUGGCAAGCGUUAUCCGGAAUUAUUGGGCGUAAAGCGCGCGUAGGCGGUUUCUUAAGUCUGAUGUGAAAGCCCACGGCUCAACCGUGGAGGGUCAUUGGAAACUGGGAAACUUGAGUGCAGAAGAAGAAAGUGGAAUUCCAUGUGUAGCGGUGAAAUGCGCAGAGAUAUGGAGGAACACCAGUGGCGAAGGCGACUUUCUGGUCUGUAACUGACGCUGAUGUGCGAAAGCGUGGGGAUCAAACAGGAUUAGAUACCCUGGUAGUCCACGCCGUAAACGAUGAGUGCUAAGUGUUAGGGGGUUUCCGCCCCUUAGUGCUGCAGCUAACGCAUUAAGCACUCCGCCUGGGGAGUAC
RNAcentral lists this ribosomal RNA (714 nucleotides) under Staphylococcus aureus. RNAcentral's name for it is "bacterial SSU rRNA". It matches the Rfam family "Bacterial small subunit ribosomal RNA", at positions 183 to 883 of the family's 1533-position model. The record is from RNAcentral. Lineage: Bacteria; Bacillati; Bacillota; Bacilli; Caryophanales; Staphylococcaceae.